GUUGACUACUUCACACGACGCACACACAGAAUCAUCUGAAGUCUGUUUGAUCGCUGUUGAGAGAAGCUUCAAACUGCUGGUGAGAGAUGAGCAGCUUUCAGUUUCUGAGACUUACAAACUCAGCUCAUACCCAACAGAUGAUGCAGGUAGGGCAUUAGCAGAAUCUCACACUUCAAAAGACGCUAGCACUGACACGUCCAGUCAUCCUGAAUGCAACUGGCUGGGGAAAUCACUUGAACACGAGCCCCCUGGUUGUUGCAUUCUUCACGCUGGAAAUGACGAAUAUGGGAGACAGGUGCAAAAUAGUGUCAGUCAAAUCCAAGCAUUCACCCUCAAUUCCAGUGAUGAGGGGGUCAGAUGUCAGUCAGAUUGCAUUCAUGGAGAUGCGUUAUAUGACACAGGUUUCUGUAAUGCAUGGAGCCAAUCUGCAGAAGUGGAAGACAGUAAUCAGAAGAGGGGUGAGCAUGGAUUUAGUGAGACUAUCCUUUUCAGCGAGGAAAAGGCAGAAGAUAACAGACCCAAAUCUUCCCCUGAUUAUGCAGUCUCUAAAUCAUUCUACUCAAACCCUGAAGAGCAAUCCUCUGGGAGCGUGGUAGAAAGUGUAAAAAAUGAGGAAAGAAUAUUAGAAUUUCAGAUAUGUGACACUGAAAAUGUUGCCAUCUGUGAUGGGGAAACAAAAGGCCAAGUUAAUGAGAAUGGCAUCAGCAACAACUCUAUCCCUUCUGCUGAUGAAUGUGCUAAGGGAUCAAUGGUUUGUUAUGAUGUGGUAUUAGCCAGAAAUAUUGCAAUUGAGAGUGUGAGUCUCGAAGCCGAUGACUUCUAUGGGGCAAAAGGAGAGCAUGCUGCUGGCAAGAUGAUAGCCAAAGCUGGGAGUGAAACUGGCUGAUCACACAACAGAGACUCCAAUGCCUGCAAGAAUCAGUCAAGAGCCUGCGGAAGGAGAUAAUGAGGCAAGCCCUUUCAGUGUAAUUGACCCUGCAAUCGGGAGUGAAACUGACAGGGAGGCUGAGGAGAAACGCUUUAAUUCAGGGAGCAAUGCAGGUGUGGAAUUAUUUACAUCAGCAAAAGUCUGCGAGAUGGAAACACCUCUUCCACUCUAUUCUGACGUGCGGCUAUCACAGGAGGUUUCAGGUCCCGACCAGAUCGGGCACUUUAAUCACCAUAGCAGAACACAACAGUUCAAAGAUGAAAAAGAGGACCUAUGGCAGUCAUACUCAGAUCCACCGGCUUGUUCUCUUCCCACCGACAAAACUCAAAACAAGACUGGCAACGAAGGCAGCUGUCACUGGAAAUCCAGUCCCAGCAUCAGUCAGUGCAGGCCAGCAGAUCCUCCUUCUGCAGAGGGUGUAAGACAAGAAAGCCAUGAUACUGUGGGACAUCAAUUGAAAGAGCAGGAUCAGUCCGGCUGUUUUCCUCUCAGUCCUGACCACCUAAAGACACAGGAGGUGGAAUAUUUACAGACAAAUUAUGAAAUUGCCAGAAUAGAUGUAAAAACUGAGAUAAAUGAAAAAGAAGGAAUGGCAAGUUUUGAAGAAGAAAUAAAAACUGAUGAACAUGGGAAGUCAGGAAUCUCACCAGACUUGGAGGAAAAACUGCUGCAACAAAAUAAAAAACCCAUAGAAGACACUAAACUAUCAACUGGUGACUGCAUCAGUGACUGGACAGAGGGCAACAUAAGUACAUAUGGCAACACAUUAGCACACAUUGAUGAUGAAAUAGGGAAUAACCUCGAAUGCUUGUCUGAUCACUCAUACAAUGCUGUAAUUAUGGAAUGGAAGAUGGAAGAGACAACAGAGGAAAAGGAAAGAGAGAAAGAGGCAAGUGUUGGAGAAGAAACUGAUGUGCAUGGUAACUCAGAGAUAUUAGGGAAAUCAGAGGAUGAUCAUCAGAGAGUAAGUCAACAGAAAAGAGACAUGACUGAGGAAUGUAUCAGUGAAUGUAGAGAGGACAACAUGUGUAGAAGUGGCCACAAAUUAACCUUUGUUAAUCAACAUGAACAAGAAAACAAGCGCAGUUGUUUCUCUGAUUACCAACACAGAGCUGAGAUAUUCAUGCUUGAAAAUAAAGAUGACCUUUCGGCGUUCACGUUCCCCCCAACAAGUGAUGCAGUUGUGCCAAGUCUACAUGAAUUACUCCAUUCACAACAUGCUGACAGAAACCCCACAGCCCUAAACGGUAAUGACAGAUUUUCCCCAAUGCCAUCUGCCUUAACUUUCAACGACCGUGUGGGCUUUGACACUUUCGAAAAGAUCCAGCUCUCACUAGAUGAUGAUGGUGGCCUGAGCAACAGCCGUCUUCUCACCAGCCUAGCCGGGCAGCUGUUGAAAACACCCGAGCAACAACUUUACCACUCUAUGCCAGAGGCAGAGAGCAAUGACCAUGAGGAGGUACCAGAAGAGGAGGAGGAAGAGAGCGAGGAGGAGAUGGAAAUAUUUGAAUGUUACACUGAGAACAUGGCAAAGGCAUUUUCAAGCAGGGAUACCAGUUGUAAUGAACUCCCAAACUGUAUCUCAGCAGCAUCAGCAGAUGUCAUUGCUCUCGGAUGGCCAGAUCAACAGCCUAACUGUGAAUCAUCUUAUAAUUCCUAUGAGUGCUUCGUGGAUGAUUUUAACGCACAAUCAGGGUCCUCCACUGUUCCCUCUAAGAGCGACAGUCUAGCCUCCGAUGUGAACCACAGCCCCAAAUUUCAGAUGAAAAAACAAUUUGACAUGGUCUUGAAAGAGCUGAAAUUAUAUUUUGAAAUCAGUCUAAGUGAUUUUGCAAGUGACAGUCGAGCAUCGACACCUGAGCAGUGUAGUGAUAAAACUGAAGCUUUGGAGGGCGACGCUUCAAACUGCAAAGAAGAAGUAGAACGCUACAGAGACACGUCAUCAGAUGAUGCGGAUGAAGCCGGCAGUCUGGAAAUGUGUGGAGGUGAUGCAGUGGUUUCUUGUACCUCUGGCAUCGGGGGCGGUGAGCAGGAGGUGCCCCUUGGCAGUCACCUGUGCCAGGACACAUCCAUGUACACUGCAGAGAACCAAAAAGAGAGCCGGGAUAUGGAGCAGAAAAGGAAAAUGUGGUCUCCUUCCUUCGGGUGUCAACCAUUCCUGGAACAACUGAGCCACAGACAGCCGGAGCAACACAGGAGACUGGAGCCUCUCAGAACAUGCACAAGGCCGAUCCGGGUUGGACUUUCAAAGAGAGCCAAGACUAAACACCUACACCGUCCCCACCCUUACAAGUGUUAAUGAAGCUCUCCUCUGUUGCAAUGUUCAAUAACUGAAUUGUUUUCUGGUUUUUAUAGUGUUUUAUAUUGUGAGUGGUUAUAGUUCCUGUACAUUUUAACUGCCUCUUAAUCCACGGAAGGUUUAAUCUACAAAAUGCCCAGUCACAUUUACAAGCAUCCUCUUAUAGGAGGUUCCCAUGUAAUCAGUCUGCUGCUGUUUGCCCACUAAACAGCUGAGCUGCAGCAGCUGGGGAGUAGGUUCCUUACCCAAGGACACGCUGACAGUAUUUGAAAGAGAACCGGCUUAAUGUUUGGCCAGCUGGAAAAAUAUUCUGGUUUUAAAAAUAUUUUAAGUAUUUAUUUAUUUAUUUAUGGCCCUAUUUCCAACCUAGCUUAGGGUUUUAUUGAUAUGCUAUUUGUACAGUUAAUAUUUAUUUAUUUAUAUUUAACUACUUUUUGCAUUGUUGUGUUGUUUAAAUGACAUCCACUUUCUCAGGUUUGUUCCAUAUAAUUUGGUUCUUAUGUGUAUCACUGUGGGCGUAUUGACACAGUAUUCUACUUGUUCCUGUAAUGUGUGGGCGUAUUCAGUCGGGGUAAAUGAGCAGAGUAUGCACUGUUACUGUGGUGUUGUGCUUUUACCAAUAAAUGGGUUCACGUGUACUGUGCAACAUAUCCUUGAGCAGUUCUGUGGGAGGCCAGCAUUUGAAAAUAGCCUGUUUACCAUUUAAUUAAAUGAUAUAAUUGCAUAU
This is a long non-coding RNA of Cottoperca gobio, 3954 nucleotides long. Ensembl annotates it as RAD51 associated protein 2. The record is from Ensembl. Lineage: Eukaryota; Metazoa; Chordata; Actinopteri; Perciformes; Bovichtidae.